Long non-coding RNA from Cyprinodon tularosa, 191 nucleotides. RefSeq lists it as uncharacterized. NCBI's taxonomy places the organism in Eukaryota, Metazoa, Chordata, Actinopteri, Cyprinodontiformes, Cyprinodontidae. The record is from RefSeq and is a predicted model, not a curated record. The transcript has 2 exons.
AGUAAACCAGACACACAACAGCGGAGGCGCAAAGCGAAAAGGAUAAAACGCCCAUCUGUCAGCUACAACCAUGGAGGACGAUUUGGAGAGGUUCUUAAUUUCUAGAGAAGUCCCAAAAGACGACAUUACACGAAUGAAGAGAGACAAGGUUGACAAAGCAGUGUUGCGCAUCAUGAGUGAUGAGCAAAUGU